This is an RNA transcript of Quercus robur (English oak), 4046 nucleotides long. It is a transcript of the gene named putative pentatricopeptide repeat-containing protein At3g25970, with no coding region annotated. Lineage: Eukaryota; Viridiplantae; Streptophyta; Magnoliopsida; Fagales; Fagaceae. The transcript has 3 exons. The record is from RefSeq and is a predicted model, not a curated record.
CGGACUAUCAAGACAUAAAAUCUAAAUCCUGGUCAGAUCCCUUUUGUUUACAUAACUGUAAAAUAACAAUAAGUUGGUUUGGUGGUCUGUUGAGAUUAACUAUUAUGCCUUAUGAGACCAACUUAGGUUGGGCGGGUCUGGCCAUUAUACCUUAGUGAACUGUUUGUGUUAGAUUCUUGUUUGAAUCCAUGGUUGUUUGAGCUCCAAGUCCAAACGUUCAAGCCCAUGUUAGUUUGAACAAAGUUUACAAAUCUCAAAUCUCAAGUAGCAUCAAUCAGCAAAACUCUGUUCGAAGUAGGACAUCUAUACUAUCUACUCUCUAGUCUUUGCACCUUGGAGUUCCCAUAAGUUACAAACAAGCCAACUUCUCAUCUAGUCUGGAGCUGUAUUGACGUACAAAUGAGUAUUAUGAGUUUGUGUGUCAAACUGGGUGUUCCUCAGCCUGCUCAUCCGGUCUUAUUGCCUACCCCUGUUGCCAACAACAAUAAUAAAAUUAGAAGUUCAGUUCUAACUCUACCAUCAAAUGGAGGCAAACUUGCUAACUCAGCUUUACAAGAUGAAACUCACAAACACUUACAGUUUCAGCCAUUAGUUGAUGUCCUACGUGACUGUGCAGAUAAAGGGUCUGUAAAACGAGCAAAAGCGGUUCAUGGGUUGUUGUCAAAAUUGGAUUUUUCGGAUAGGGACUUGAUGGUCUUGUUAAACCAUGUAGCUCAUGUGUACUCUAAAUGUUCGGAUUUUGAUGCUGCUCGUCGAGUGUUUGAUAAAAUGUCUGAGAGAAACAUAUUUUCUUGGACGGUCAUGAUUGUUGCUUGUACUGAGAAUGGCUUCUUUCUUGAAGGAUUCAAGUUCUUCUGUGAGAUGUUGAAUCAUGGUAUCUUACCUGAUGAGUUUGCAUAUUCAUCGGUUGUCCAGACGUGUAUUGGUUUGGAGUGUGUUGAAUUGGGUAGAAUGGUUCAUGCCCAGAUUGUUAUAAGAGGCUAUGCAUGUCAUACGUUUGUUAGUACGUCUCUUCUUAAUAUGUAUGCCAAAUUGGGAAUGAUUGAAGUGUCCAAUAAGGUAUUUGAGACCAUGACUGAACAUAAUCAAGUCUCAUGGAAUGCAAUGAUAUCGGGGUUUACAGGGAAUGGUCUUCACUUCGAAGCAUUUGAUCAUUUUCUUAGAAUGAAGAAAGGAGGCAUUACACCAAAUAUUUCCACACUUAUUAGCGUUUCAAAAGCAGUUGGAAACUUAGGUGAUGUCAGAAAGGGCAAAGAGGUUCAGAAUUAUGUUUCUGAAUUGGGUUUGGAGUCUAAUGUUCUUGUUGGAACAGCUAUAAUUGAUAUGUUCUCAAAAUGUGGGUCAUUGAGAGAUGCAAGAUCUGUUUUUGACUCAAGUUUCACCUGUUGUGGAGUUAACACACCUUGGAAUGCAAUGAUUUCAGGCUAUUCUCAGUAUGGGUUUAGCCAAGAAGCAUUGGAACUUUUUGUAGAAAUGUGUCGAAAUGAUAUAAAAUCUGAUGUUUACACUUAUUGCAGUGUGUUCAAUGCUAUUGCCACUUUAAAGCUUUUGCGAUUCGGAAAGGAAGUUCAUGGGAUGGUUCUGAAGAGUGGAUUAAAUAUGAAAGUUGUAAGUGUUUCCAAUGCAAUUGCUGAUACAUAUGCCAAAUGUGGGUUGCUUGAAGAUGUAAGGAAGGUAUUUGAUAGGAUGGAAGAGAGAGAUAUAGUGUCUUGGACAACCCUGGUGACUGCUUACUCUCAAUGUUCUGAAUGGGAGGAAGCACUAGCCAUCUUCUCUCAGAUGAGGGAAGAAGGCUUUAUACCCAAUCAGUUUACCUUUUCUAGCGUGCUUGUUGCUUGCACCAGCCUUGGUUUACUUGAGUAUGGUCAUCAAGUCCAUUCUCUUCUUUGCAAGGCUGGCUUGGACACUGAUAACUGCAUAGAAAGUGCUCUAAUUGACAUGUAUGCCAAAUGUGGUAGUAUAACUGAAGCGCGUAAGGUUUUUGAGAAAGUAUCUAACCCUGACACUGUUACAUGGACAGCUGUUAUAUCAGGUUAUGCUCAACAUGGUCUGGUGGAGGAUGCUCUUCAACUCUUUAGCCAGAUGAAUCAGUUAGGUACAAAUGCCAAUGCUGUUACCUUGCUGUGUGUCCUGUUUGCUUGCAGCCACGGAGGAAUGGUGGAGGAGGGCCUAAAUUAUUUUCAACAAAUGGAGGACAGUUAUGGCCUGGUGCCAGAGAUGGAACAUUAUGCAUGUGUUGUUGAUCUCUUAGGUCGAGUUGGCCGUCUGGAUGAUGCAAUGGAUUUUAUAGAAAGGAUGCCCAUUGAGCCCAAUGUGAUGGUCUGGCAGACCUUGUUGGGAGCAUGUAGGGUCCAUGGCAACAUUGAGUUAGGAGAGAUUGCUGCCCAGAAAAUUCUUUCAAUUAUGCCCGACUACUCAGCUACCUAUGUACUUCUAUCCAACACGUAUAUCGAGAAAGGGAGCUAUGAAGAUGGACUUAAUUUGAGAGAUAUGAUGAAAGAGCAAGGCGUGAAAAAGGAACCGGGAUAUAGUUGGAUUUCUGUCAAAGGUAGAAUCCAUAAAUUUUAUGCAGGUGAUCAACAGCAUCCUCAAAAAGAGGCCAUAUAUGCGAAGCUAGAAGAGUUGAGGGCGAAGAUCAGAUCCAUGGCUUAUGUACAAGACUUGAACUCUGUAUUGUGAGAUGUGGAUUACAGAUAAAAGCUUUGUAUGACUGGUGGAAGCCCAUCAAAAGAUAUAAACUUCUACAUGCCAAUAUUUCUAGUAAAUAUAAACACAUAAAUGGGCACACAUCUUUCACAAACACAUGUACCUCUUUGAGUAGAACUUCCACAUUUAGAGAUGCCGAGGAGAACUUACAAAUGUGGCUGAUGAAUUCCUGUUGAUGAAUGUUUAGUGAUAGGUGUAAGUGUCGUGCUUAACCUAUGACUCCUACAGCCUUGUCUUUCAUAAUUGAGGAAGGCUGAGUACCUAAAAAGCAGAGAGCCAAUGGGAAAUAUUUUUGAGAACAAUGCAGGAAACUGAUGUGGGCUUGGAUACCAAUAUUGACACUACUUUCAAGAAUAAAGGUCUUCCCACAGACUUUGUGAUCCAUAUGCUUAUUAUGAAUGAUUUGAGAGAGUAACUUGUGGGUAUUAUUAUUUGUCAUGGAGAGGCAAUCUUGGCAUUAUAUUAAUCAAACAGGGUGUUUUAGAACAUCCUUAACCAGGUCAUCCACCAUUGCAAAGCAGUUGAAAACAGUGGAACAGUGGCUCAAGGUGUACAAAGACAAGGUAAUGGUUUCCUUCUUCGAUGUGGCAAAAUAAGAACGAAAAGCUUGAUUUCUGUUAAUUGAUUUUAGAAAUGAGCAUGAUUCAAUCAUGAGUCCUACUGCCUUUAAUUAUGUAAUUGCAGAACUGAAUAAUGAAUUGCACUUUGUUCGUGUGGCUGAUUAAAUAAAAAAGAAAGAAUCAUGCUUCUUUGGAUAAUGUAUUAUUGAAUGCUUUUUUGCAUAUAUGGAGCUUGCAGUCAAUUCUCGCUGCUGUCAAUUCUUUGCAGUCAAAACCAGAACAACCAACCUGCUAGAAGCAGAACCCAAAAAAACCAGCAGCGGAGCUGCACUAAAUGCACCCUUCUAAGUAACUAUACUACAACAGAACAACAAAGUCCCAUGCACUCAAAAAACAAAACAGAAAACAAAAAUUCCAGAAACUAUUGGGUCUGCAGUACACAUAUACAGCAAAGGGAAACAGCAGAUAGUCUAAAACCAUUUAAUAAGAACAGAAUAGGGAAUCCAACAUUUAACUCGAUUUAAAACUCAAAUUUUCAUUUCUGUUCCAGCAGCUAAUCUGCCCCACAUUAGCCAUUGCUGCAAAAGAUGGCAAAAGAUCUGAGACACAAGGCAAAAAGAAAAACCUUUUCUUAAACACUUGGUGUAAGAAAAAAAAUUGUAUACCCAUCUACUUUCUUUUUCUAAAGAGUUUGACAGUCUCUUGGAGUGAAUAUAUCACUUCUCUCUCACACAUCUUUUUCCCUUUCUUUUUGAGAAUUUUCAUAGUUAGAUGGCAAAA